AACGAACGCUGGCGGCAGGCUUAACACAUGCAAGUCGAACGCAUCCUUCGGGGUGAGUGGCAGACGGGUGAGUAACGCGUGGGAACGUGCCCUUCAGUUCGGGAUAACCCAGGGAAACUUGGGCUAAUACCGGAAACGUGCGAGAGCAGAAAGAUUUAUCGCUGAAGGAUCGGCCCGCGUCUGAUUAGCUAGUUGGUGGGGUAAUGGCCCACCAAGGCGACGAUCAGUAGCUGGUCGGAGAGGAUGAUCAGCCACAUUGGGACUGAGACACGGCCCAAACUCCUACGGGAGGCAGCAGUGGGGAAUAUUGGAUAAGGGGCGCAAGCCUGAUCCAGCCAUGCCGCGUGAGAGAUGAAGGCCUUAGGGUUGUAAAGCUCUUUCGUCCGGGACGAUAAUGACGGUACCGGAAGAAGAAGCCCCGGCUAACUUCGUGCCAGCAGCCGCCGUAA
RNAcentral lists this ribosomal RNA (449 nucleotides) under uncultured bacterium. RNAcentral describes it as "partial 16S ribosomal RNA". It matches the Rfam family "Bacterial small subunit ribosomal RNA", at positions 29 to 523 of the family's 1533-position model. The record is from RNAcentral.